ACAGGCUGCAGCUGACUGAACUGCAGACAGAAGACUCCCAGAAGUGCACGGGUGCAGUAUACCAUAAACAAAAUGCUAGAAGAUGCUACAGCAAAUGCUGAUAGAGCUUCUGAUAGAUCUUUAAAGAGUCCUAAUUUUUGCCAGUUAGUAUAAUAAUAGGACCUCAAUCUACAGGAAAAGUUAGUGGCAGAUUAAAGAAUAUUUCUUUAAUCACAAAUUCUGAUUGCCAGGAGCAUCAUUUCUAAGAAUUUUUGUGAGUUAUUCUGAAGCCUUACACAGCCUGUACAGACCAGAGUAAUGAGUUAGAAAUCCUGGUAGUUUUGCCUGAGCAAAGACUGCGAGAUCAGGCUCUAUAUUACAAAUUCAAAUAAAAUCAAGAAAUAGAGAAACCUGAUCAAAUUGGGUUCAGUGAGGACAUUACUGACUAUUGACUAUUUGUUCUUACUAAGGACUGGAUCUGCCACAAUGAAUUCUCUCCAUCCUGACUGGGAUCUCUUGGACAAACAGACAAAGAACCACCACCAUCUUAUUGGUGCUAAAAGAGAAGCCUCCCCAACUCACAGUGAGAAACACUUGAGUUUCCAGGUGAUGGCAGUCCUAACUUGCCAAGUACCCAGCACCUACACAACAAUAUUGCAA
This is a long non-coding RNA of Chelonoidis abingdonii (Abingdon island giant tortoise), 639 nucleotides long. RefSeq lists it as uncharacterized. The record is from RefSeq and is a predicted model, not a curated record. NCBI's taxonomy places the organism in Eukaryota, Metazoa, Chordata, Testudines, Testudinidae.